This is a long non-coding RNA of Mesocricetus auratus (golden hamster), 997 nucleotides long. RefSeq lists it as uncharacterized. The record is from RefSeq and is a predicted model, not a curated record. Lineage: Eukaryota; Metazoa; Chordata; Mammalia; Rodentia; Cricetidae. The transcript is spliced from 4 exons.
UAGAAAGAAUACAGGCCCCAAAACUUGUAUUUUGGAAGGAAGUUCUCAAACUGGAGGGUCAAUUCCUACCUUUAAAGACAGAACCUAAGGAUAUACUGCUGUGGUCACCUAGGAUCCUAUUUCUACAAAGGUAUUUGCCAGAUCAAACGGUUACUGACACCCUGUAUGUCACUGGAAAGGACAGAACAGGAGCACCUGGUCUUGCCAGAAAUAGGAAGAGAUGAGUCAGUCACUCUUUUAAUUCAGUUUAGUAUGCUCCUAACCCUCCAGGUCACAAAACAUUUUCUUCCCAUUCCCAUCACCUCUUUACUUCCCAAACUCGUGGUCUUGGAUCAGAAGAAAGCGAGAGGACCUGGGCAGGAACCAAACCGGUAACCACAAGGACAAACGUGCAAAGAGGAGGGAAGACAAGACUCAAGUCAGAUGCUGGAUGAGAAGCUGUGUAGAGGUGUCCAGCUCUCCUGCAGGUCAUCCAGAAUUUCAACGCUGCUCACUUGUGAAGUGAAAAGACAGCACGAGGGGCCAUCAACACCUCCACUCGCCACACCCGACUAGUCUCCAGGAGAGGUAGAAGACUUGCAGCCUAAAGGAGAUAAGCCAAGGCCAGAUGAACUAGUGCACUGAGAAGCCUCCUCUGCAAACCUGAGGGCCACCUGCUCUCAGCCCCGCACAGACCUGCUGUAGUUCUCCUCAGGGCCUCGCUCUUCUGCGUCAGCCUCGUCCGUCCUGUCAUAUGUCAGGAGGUCUGCAGGGACAUCAUGAAUCUGGACACUAGGCGCAUGGUUUAGCAUCUUCAAGUUUUCAAAGAUUGUCUGUCGGAUCUGGUCCAGAUACUAGUUGAGAGGAAAAGAAAAGUCAGCAGCUCCUGGGUAAUUCCCUGACUGUCCUGGUUUUAAGUAGUAUUUUGAUUUCAGAUACCAGUUGAUGACUGUUCCUACUUUAUUCUGGGUUGUCCCAAGAUGGUACGAACAACAACAGUGAGAGCCCAUGCCUCCUU